GCGCCCAUAGCUCAGCUGGAUAGAGCGUCGGACUACGAAUCCGAAGGUCGCAAGUUCGAGUCUUGCUGGGCGCACCA
RNAcentral lists this transfer RNA (77 nucleotides) under Acidobacteria bacterium 13_1_20CM_2_68_7. RNAcentral describes it as "tRNA-Arg". It matches the Rfam family "tRNA". From Rfam's summary of the family: Transfer RNA (tRNA) molecules are approximately 80 nucleotides in length. Their secondary structure includes four short double-helical elements and three loops (D, anti-codon, and T loops). Further hydrogen bonds mediate the characteristic L-shaped molecular structure. tRNAs have two regions of fundamental functional importance: the anti-codon, which is responsible for specific mRNA codon recognition, and the 3' end, to which the tRNAs corresponding amino acid is attached (by aminoacyl-tRNA synthetases). tRNAs cope with the degeneracy of the genetic code in two manners: having more than one tRNA (with a specific anti-codon) for a particular amino acid; and 'wobble' base-pairing, i.e. permitting non-standard base-pairing at the 3rd anti-codon position. The record is from RNAcentral. Lineage: Bacteria; Pseudomonadati; Acidobacteriota. RNAcentral also lists the same sequence under 4 other names.